AUGCAUUUCGACCCCUUCGUAGUUCUCAAUCAUUUCUUGGCACCGGGUGUGGCUAAACCAUCUAUGAUGGGGGGAGCGAAUGUGCAGGGAAGAAGCUUAGAUAAGAGAAUACGUUCUCGCAUCGCUUUUUUUUGUAGAAAGUUCGACCAGCGAGAAAAAGUGUUUGGCCGAAGCCAAAAAGAGGAUGCCCGGGAACCACUCCUAGGUCAAUUAAGGAUCAAAUGUUGGAACCUCAUGGGUAAGGACAAGGUGUCAAAGUGUGGAUUUCAUAUAGUAAAAAAAAAGGGACGUGCUAUAUCCGAAACAUACGAAAUUUAG
This is a non-coding RNA of Vicia faba (fava bean), 318 nucleotides long. Lineage: Eukaryota; Viridiplantae; Streptophyta; Magnoliopsida; Fabales; Fabaceae. The record is from the annotation of a GenBank genome assembly.